GAAUCAUAAAGAUAUCCAUGAAUGAAAACCGGGAGGACCAAUCAAAAAGCCAAGGCCGCUUCAAAGGCUGAAAGGAACUACAGUGAGACCAGAGGAGUAAUUAUCGAUAUACUAAGAAGAAAAUCCCAACAUGAAGAUACGUGGUCAGGGAGAAGAAGAAGGAUCUGGAGAGAGAGAAGUGUCAGACUUACUAAAAAGGAUUAGGGACAAAAGAAUUAAGCAUCUGACAAGGGAUUUUUCAAUCAACACUUACCAGUUCACCUAUCAGGACCUGACAGACACACAUGAACCAGAUUUUGAAAACCAGAAAUAAAACCAGUAUAAAUAACUCA
This 332-nucleotide long non-coding RNA is filed under the name Struthio camelus australis. RNAcentral describes it as "lncRNA (ENSSCUG00000012508.1)". The record is from RNAcentral. Lineage: Eukaryota; Metazoa; Chordata; Aves; Struthioniformes; Struthionidae.